AUAUUCUAACCUCAGAAUACCCUCUUCAAUCUCUCUCUCUUCCCCUCCACACCCAGCACGCAUUUGGGCAAACCAAAACCCUAAAUUACAUUUCUUAAUUUGUUCGAAUUCGAUCUUCAAAUUUCGUUGAUUUUACCAGUAAAUUUAAGAGUUGAGGAAACCCUUCAAAUUUCUCCUAGAUCGGAAAAAUUUCUCAGUUUUUGAAGUUUGGGAAAAAUGCCGGAGUGUUGUUGUUGGAGAUCCGGUUUACAUCCCCACCGUCCUUGAGUACCUAGCUUGUUUCGAUCUGAGGCGUCUGAUCUGGUUCUAGAUUUUGAUGAAGGAAGCUCAAAAGGCGGAUACAAGGGGUGUGUGUUAUUUGAGCAGGAUCCCCUUAAAGUAUCUACUGAUAGGUGCCUUGUGGUUACUUGUCAUUACUUUCAAGGACUGAGGAAACGAAAGUAGCUGGUGCAGAUUAAUGUGGCACUUUCAAGACUAAGAUUCCAGCUCUAGCUAAUUAGCAGGUCAUCCCAGAGAAACUACCCUAUAAGUUGCAUAGCCUCUACCUAUUGUACUCUCCUCUGUUCCUGCUACCAACUCAUCUCAUUCAUCUGCUGCUGGUGGUGCUGCUGGUGCUGGUCUAGCAGUGUUUUGUGCUGGCAGGUCUAUGCUACUGAGGUUGGCACAGUUCUUCUCAGUUGUGCGUUCUUUUAUGAUAUAUUUUGGGUCUUUGCUUCCAAAUGGUUCUUCCAUGAGAGCGUUAUGAUCAUGUAUUUCCUCAAGUUCCUGCCACUUAUUCUCAAGCGAUGAUUGACGAGACACGGGAUACUUUGGUUACAUAUUUUUCAAGCAAAAACAAGUUUUCAAUGAUAGAUUGGUGAAGAUGAAGAAAAUGAUAUUUUGGACGUUGAUCAUGAAUGAUCUUUGUAGCUAGUGCAUAUUGACACUUUCUAACAAAUGUUUUGCGAAUCUCAUAGCAAGUUCAUACAUUUGAAGUAUUCUUUUGGAUUUAAGCUUGUGAUUGGAGUUUGGAGAAUGUUAUAUAUUACACUAGUUUUAUUUAAUUUAUUGGUUUGGAGAACAAGAAGGUACAUUGGUCGGU
Spinacia oleracea (spinach) is the source of this 1081-nucleotide long non-coding RNA. RefSeq lists it as uncharacterized. The record is from RefSeq and is a predicted model, not a curated record. The transcript is spliced from 6 exons. Lineage: Eukaryota; Viridiplantae; Streptophyta; Magnoliopsida; Caryophyllales; Amaranthaceae.